RNAcentral lists this ribosomal RNA (459 nucleotides) under uncultured bacterium. RNAcentral describes it as "partial 16S ribosomal RNA". It matches the Rfam family "Bacterial small subunit ribosomal RNA", at positions 338 to 795 of the family's 1533-position model. The record is from RNAcentral.
CCUACGGGAGGCUGCAGUGAGGAAUCUUGGUCAAUGGGCGCGAGCCUGAACCAGCCAAGUCGCGUGAGGGAAGACGGUCCUAUGGAUUGUAAACCUCUUUUGUCGGGGAGAAAAAGACGCCACGCGUGGCGUUCCGAGAGUACCCGAAGAAAAAGCAUCGGCUAACUCCGUGCCAGCAGCCGCGGUAAUACGGAGGAUGCGAGCGUUAUCCGGAUUGAUUGGGUUUAAAGGGUGCGCAGGCGGAAGAUCAAGUCAGCGGUAAAAUUGAGAGGCUCAACCUCUUCGAGCCGUUGAAACUGGUUUUCUUGAGUGAGCGAGAAGUAUGCGGAAUGCGUGGUGUAGCGGUGAAAUGCAUAGAUAUCACGCAGAACACCGAUUGCGAAGGCAGCAUACCGGCGCUCAACUGACGCUCAUGCACGAAAGUGUGGGGAUCGAACAGGAUUAGAUACCCGAGUAGUC